UACAGGGGGGGCAAGCGUUGUUCGGAAUUACUGGGCGUAAAGGGCUCGUAGGCGGCCAACUAAGUCACACGUGAAAUCCCCAGGCUCAACCUGGGAACUGCGUCGGAUACUGGAUGGCUUGAAUUCGGGAGAGGGAUGCAGAAUUCCAGGUGUAGCGGUGAAAUGCGUAGAUAUCUGGAGGAAUACCGGUGGCGAAGGCGGCAUCCUGGACCGACAUUGACGCUGAGGAGCGAAAGCUAGGGGAGCAAACGGG
Molecule: ribosomal RNA, 253 nt
Filed under: uncultured bacterium
Lineage: Bacteria
Description: partial 16S ribosomal RNA
Rfam family: Bacterial small subunit ribosomal RNA
Source: RNAcentral